GAUAGAUUAUCGAUUGUGCCAACUGCCAAAAUAUGGGCGUCACCAUACUUAGGUCCUUCUUUAACCAGACAAAAGAAUAAAGCCUAGGUGUUCAACUUCAGAGUCCUAAUUUGUCAGCUUAAGAAAGCUAAGCUCGACCUAACGGCGUGGUCAUAGUGACGUACUAGCUAGCUUAUAGACAUAAAUUAAAAUAAUUUAUGGAUUUGUCACCAAAAAGUAGAGACACGAGAUGUCAUAUUUAAAACAAAUCCUGGCUAAAUUCAAUUUACUGUUAUUUGCAGAACAAGCUCCAAAAUUAGAAGCUCAGACUCAUAAAAGCAGAUAAUUUUCUCUGUAAUUGAUCGGCCCAAUUAAAUGGUUAUUCUAGUACGUUGUUAUUGCUCGGAAAACAAGUUCGAAUGAUAUUCGACUUCCAAAUUUGGCAUUUGAAAGAUUAAUGGCUGCAGUUUGUGUACUAGAAAGGAUCAUCGAUAAACAAUGUAACAUAUAUCAGCUUGCAUCGAAGAUAACGAAAAUGGAGAGAGAACUAAAAGAAAAAACAAAUUAUUUUUUCUCUAUUUUUCUAACCUAUAUUUGCAGCUUGGAUUUUAUUGUGGAAAUCUUUGAAGCUUGUCAACCUUUAUUUUUUGUAAAGGUAACUUGAAGCCUAUAGAAAUUGUUCAAGCAGCCAUUAACAGCUUUUGUGCUAAGAGGGCUCUAAGCCAACAAAACUAAAUCUCAGGUCUUCUUUGGAGAGAUUAAAGAGGAUUGCUAUAACAAAGUGCGAGAGUGGACAUGGUCACUAUCUGUAUAGGUGCGGAUCAGAUAGAAUUACUUGUCCGCAAGGGAUACAUCUCUGUCAUGUUCUUAUAUAUGGCUCAAUUCUCUACCAUUUAUUUCAUGUGGGACAAUGUCCACAGUACUUACAAAGUGGAGAGCUAUGGUGGAAUCAUAAAUAAGAUCCAAAAGAAGCUCGACAAUUGGGCUAGUAGGUCGAGCUCAACUUAUCCAAUUCUUCGGGAUUAGAAAUUAUUGAAUGAGUAUUUUUAUUAUUCCUCAUAAAGUAAUUGCAGCUAUUCAUAAGCUUUGUACACCCCAGAGGAAAUUGAAGUAAACUUCACCAUACUUCUUAGGAACAAGUUUGUUUACCAAAAAAAGUAUGUUGGUAUUGGUUUUAGGGAAGGAAAAAUAAAUGGAACAUUGCUCUAAUAGCCGAGUUCAUUUGGGCCAUCUCUAGAAAGCAAGAUUUUCUUUAGGCUCGUUGGAUUCAAGCCAUUUAUUUAAAGAACAAGGAGUUUGGAAACUUUGUCCGAAAAGGUGAGCUAAGCUGGUAUUUUAGGAAGCUAACAAAGCUUCAAAAUAUCAUAAGUUUAUCAAGCUGCGUUGAUGGAGGUUGUGAAGAAUGAGAGGUUUAAGAUUUGGAGGCUUGGAAGGUUUUGGUGUGAGCUGCCUCAGACAGGGGUGGUGGGCAUGGUUAUGAAGGCGAUUAUUGUAGCUGCUAUGUUAUGUAUUUCAUUUGGUGUAAUAAGAAUUGUUGUAUUUCUCAUUUAGCUUGUAGCUUGGUCAAAGUUCUAAGGAACCAUGUUAAGUUAGCUAUUAAAUCUAGAGUUAAGAGUGUUUUCAUUUCUCAGCUUAGUAAGAGGGGAAGGGAUGUAUUAGGAGCAAUUAACUCUUUGUAAGAGUCUAGAUUUAACUAAAGACUCAGUAUUCAGGUAGAGUAUUAUUUCUUUAUUUUUUAAUUUUUAGCUAGAUUGAAAAAUUUGACAGGAAAAUGAUAGAGAUAUUCAGCUCAUAAUUUCGAAAAGAUUAGUAAGAUGCAAAAGAAAAGAUUAAGGGGAACUUAAUUUGUUGAUGUUUAAAUGGUUGAUACUGUGUAAUGAGCAAAAGUAUGGCUGAUGGAAGUUGAUGCAGGAGAAUUUAUCUUUUUUUAGCUGUUUUA
Molecule: long non-coding RNA, 1918 nt
Organism: Cannabis sativa
Lineage: Eukaryota; Viridiplantae; Streptophyta; Magnoliopsida; Rosales; Cannabaceae
Exons: 2
Source: RefSeq, a predicted model, not a curated record